GUAGGUGGCGAGCGUUGUCCGGAAUUAUUGGGCGUAAAGCGCGCGCAGGCGGUUCUUUAAGUCUGAUGUGAAAGCCCACGGCUCAACCGUGGAGGGUCAUUGGAAACUGGAGAACUUGAGUACAGAAGAGGAAAGCGGAAUUCCACGUGUAGCGGUGAAAUGCGUAGAGAUGUGGAGGAACACCAGUGGCGAAGGCGGCUUUCUGGUCUGUAACUGACGCUGAGGCGCGAAAGCGUGGGGAGCAACAGGAUUAGAUACCUGUAGUCCACGCCGUAAACGAUGAGUGCUAAGUGUUAGGGGGUUUACCGGUCCCCUUACGUGCUGCAGCUAACGCAUUAAGCACUCCGCCUGGGAGUACGGCCGCAGGCUG
RNAcentral lists this ribosomal RNA (370 nucleotides) under uncultured organism. RNAcentral describes it as "partial 16S ribosomal RNA". It matches the Rfam family "Bacterial small subunit ribosomal RNA", at positions 527 to 896 of the family's 1533-position model. The record is from RNAcentral.